UCUAGUGGAAUGUUGAUGAACUACAUGAUAAGAAUGGUUAUCUAGGGUUAGUAACAAAACGUACCAUAAUAGCACAAAUUUUAUUCUUACAUUUGUACAUAUCACUCUUUUUCAGUGCCUUGUAGUCCCACUAAUGUAUCCGUGUUCAUGGACUGCUCCAACAAUUCUGCUUUGGUGUCCUGGUCUGCCAGUCGUGGCGCUGUGAAGUACUCUGUGAACGCCAUCAGCAGUCACGGCAAUGACAGCUGUCAGACAUCUGGUCUUGCCUGUCGUCUCAGCCUUGCAUGUGGCAGCCUUUACACUGUUCAGGUUGUUGCCAUGGAUGACAACUGCUCAAGUUUUCCCAGCACUCCUGUGGAGUUCACCUCAGGUGGGAGAUUUGACUCCACUUGACAGGAUAGCAACACUCCAUCAGUUGAUUAAAUCAUUAUAUUUUAUGUUUUCAGGUCCCUGUCCACCUAGUAAUGUGAGUGCCCAAAUUACAUGUCAGUCAAGCAAUAUGAAUGUUUACUGGAACGCCAUCAGAGAUGCCGACCACUUUUUAGUAUCAUUAACUUCUGUGAAUAGAACUAUUCAGUUAUGCAACACCACAACUACUACAUGCUUCAUCAGCAAUGCAACAUGUGGAGAAACAUUUACCAUCCAAGUCACCUCCGUGAGAGGCAAAUGUCUCAGUCAGCCCCAUCAAACCUCCACCAUCCAGACAGCUCCCUGCCAGCCUAAAGGAGUAAAUGGCUACAUUGACUGUGUAUCGAACUCGGCUUGGAUCACGUGGGACACUGCUCUCGGAGCGAGCAACUAUACAGUGUCAGCUGUAGGUUCAGGGAUCUCCAAAACCAACUGCACUUCCAUCACAGACACGAGAUGUGAGGUGAAGGACCUAGCCUGUGGUGUAUCGUUCAACUUCACAGUUACUGCUACAAACAGCAGGUGUGACAGUCAACCAAGUGCUCCUUUCAGCUUGGAAACAGGUAUUUACAAUCUAAAGUUUAUUUGUGAAAUAUUUGUUCGUGCAGCCGAGUGA
RNAcentral lists this long non-coding RNA (1024 nucleotides) under Oryzias javanicus (javanese ricefish). Its description in RNAcentral is "lncRNA (ENSOJAG00000024039.1)". The record is from RNAcentral. Lineage: Eukaryota; Metazoa; Chordata; Actinopteri; Beloniformes; Adrianichthyidae.